This 394-nucleotide ribosomal RNA is filed under the name uncultured bacterium. RNAcentral describes it as "partial 16S ribosomal RNA". It matches the Rfam family "Bacterial small subunit ribosomal RNA", at positions 338 to 729 of the family's 1533-position model. The record is from RNAcentral.
CCUACGGGAGGCAGCAGUGAGGAAUAUUGGUCAAUGGGCGUAAGCCUGAACCAGCCAAGUCGCGUGAGGGAUGAAGGUUCUAUGGAUCGUAAACCUCUUUUAUACGGGAAUAAAGUGCUGGACGUGUCCCGUUUUGUAUGUACCUUAUGAAUAAGGAUCGGCUAACUCCGUGCCAGCAGCCGCGGUAAUACGGAGGAUCCGAGCGUUAUCCGGAUUUAUUGGGUUUAAAGGGUGCGUAGGUGGCCUUUUAAGUCAGUGGUGAAAGUCUGUGGCUCAACCAUAAAAUUGCCGUUGAAACUGGGAGGCUUGAGUACGUUAGAGGUAGGCGGAAUGCGUGGUGUAGCGGUGAAAUGCUUAGAUAUCACGCAGAACUCCGAUUGCGAAGGCAGCCCGC